UGGGUCAUGGAGAUAUUCCAGGUAGUAGUUGCUGGGCAUGCGUUUCUGUUGGAGGCUCGCCGCGUCGUGCGCACGUUGGAGCGCAUCGUGGGCGUCGGCCAGAGCAAACGGAUCACGCAUGCACCAGAGAUGGGUAGCGUCGUGUGUGUACCUGUGUUAGCCCGGGUAUAAAUACCCCGGUACUGCUUGUUGAUGCAUCAGCAAGAGCCAGCGAUAUAGCCAUUGAAAAUAUAAAGAAGAUUAGGGCGUGCGUGCGCCCACGACGGCGUUCGUGCGCCGGCCCGGAAUUUCUUAUGCCUUGUAUCUUCUUCUUCCUUUAGCCGAGAGUGAGAGAGGGCUGCGGUUCCAAAAAUUGGUAUCAGAGCUUGGUGUCUUGGGCGUGCUUGCCGUGCCGGAGGCGUGGCAGCGAUGGCGGCGCUCCCCGGCGGCUGCGCGAUGGAGCUCCGGGCCGUGUGUCGGCCUAUGGAGGUGGGCGGCGCUGUGGCUGCCAUGGCGCGUGGCGGAGGCGGCGGGGCGGUGAAGUCGUACGUGCGGCGACCGCGGAGGCCGCCGAGGCGCUGCGUGGUGGCGCGGCGGCGCAACACUGCAUGGCGACAUGAGGCCGCGGCGGUUCAGGGCAAUAAGACGUGGCGGCGAGCCAGGCGCGACCGGUGCGUGUUAUGGGUGCGCACUGGACGCGUCGGGACCGCGGGCGCGCGUACGAGCGUGCGGUUGACAUUGGGAGGAGGCGUAUGUCGCCGUGGUGCUCGAGUCCGUGCUUGAGUUCGGCUACAUCCUUCCGGCGUUUGUCGCUGGCGGCUGCCAUGAUGGACGCGGAGGCGGCACGCGGUGAGCGUCUGGUGCGGUCGGACUCGUCGGGCGCGUCGGGUGCGCGCGGGACGUGCGGGAUGCACUAGUGCGGUCGGGCUCGUCGGGCGCGUCUGGUGCGCGCGGGACGUGCGGGGCGCAGAGUGGCGCCAGGCGUGUGUCGCCGGCGGAGAAGGAGCGGCGAUGGCAAGUCAAGAUUAAGGAGAGAAUGUUAGCAGUAAUCUUGAUUAGACUAUUAGUUAGUGCAUGCGUGGCUGUUAGUUGCGUAGCUGGGUCAUGGAGAUAUUCCAGGUAGUAGUUGCUGGGCAUGCGUUUCUGUUGGAGGCUCGCCGCGUCGUGCGCACGUUGGAGCGCAUCGUGGGCGUCAGCCAGAGCAAACGGAUCACGCAUGCACCAGAGAUGGGUAGCGUCGUGUGUGUACCUGUGUUAGCCCGGGUAUAAAUACCCCGGUACUGCUUGUUGAUGCAUCAGCAAGAGCCAGCGAUGUAGCCAUUGAAAAUAUAAAGAAGAUUAGGGCGUGCGUG
Molecule: long non-coding RNA, 1331 nt
Filed under: Triticum aestivum (bread wheat)
Lineage: Eukaryota; Viridiplantae; Streptophyta; Magnoliopsida; Poales; Poaceae
Description: long non-coding RNA (TAES_LNC008168)
Source: RNAcentral